Non-coding RNA from Caenorhabditis elegans, 114 nucleotides. The record is from Ensembl. Lineage: Eukaryota; Metazoa; Nematoda; Chromadorea; Rhabditida; Rhabditidae.
CUCACCCCAUAACUCGAUUUGGACGGGUGGGGUAGGCUCGGGGGCUCCGAGCUUUUACAUAUUUUUCUUUUUUUUUUCUGCUUCUAUCUUUUUCUCUGCGUCUCGUCUCUCUUG